GACAGAGGUGCCGAGCGUUAGGCGGAAUCACUGGGCUUAAAGCGUGUGUAGGCGGACUUCUAAGUACCUUGUGAAAUGCCAAGGCUCAACCUUGGAACUGCCUUUGAUACUGGAGACCUUGAGUCCGGGAGAGGUGAGUGGAAUUGCGAGUGUAGAGGUGAAAUUCGUAGAUAUUCGCAAGAACACCAGUGGCGAAGGCGGCUCACUGGCCCGGAACUGACGCUGAGACGCGAAAGCGUGGGGAGCAAACAGG
RNAcentral lists this ribosomal RNA (253 nucleotides) under uncultured bacterium. RNAcentral's name for it is "partial 16S ribosomal RNA". It matches the Rfam family "Bacterial small subunit ribosomal RNA", at positions 524 to 776 of the family's 1533-position model. The record is from RNAcentral.